This is a long non-coding RNA of Clupea harengus (Atlantic herring), 417 nucleotides long. The record is from Ensembl. Lineage: Eukaryota; Metazoa; Chordata; Actinopteri; Clupeiformes; Clupeidae.
GCAGCAGAACGAGAGGAUUAGAGAGACGAAUCAAUCUGUGCCAUAGGAGAGCAUUCACAGCAGUUUACUCUCUCAGCUAGUCAGUGUGGGUGAGGGAGUGAGUAAGGGAGUGAGUGAGUGAGUGAGUGAGUGUGAGGGAGUGAGGGAGUGAAUGAGGGAGUGAGUGAAGGAGUGAGUGAGUGAGUGAGGGAGUGAGUGAGUGAGGGAGUGAGUGAGGGAGUGAAUGAGGGAGGGAUGGAUGAGUGAGUGAAGGAGUGAAUGGUCUGAGUGAGUUAAAGAGUGAGUGAGUGAGUUAGUGAGUGAGUGAGUGAGUGAAGGGGGGAGUGGUGUGUGUGUGUGUGUGUGUGUGUGUGUGUGUGUGUGUGUGUGUGUGUGUGUGUGUGUGUGUGUGUGUGUGUGUGUGUGAGUGAGUGAGUU